GAUCAUGGCUCAGAUUGAACGCUGGCGGAAUGCUUUACACAUGCAAGUCGAACGACAGCACGGGGCAACCUGGUGGCGAGUGGCGAACGGGUGAGUAAUGCAUCGGAACGUGCCAUUGAGUGGGGGAUAACGUAGCGAAAGUUGCGCUAAUACCGCAUAUUCUGUGAGCAGGAAAGCAGGGGACCGCAGGGCCUUGCGCUCUUUGAGCGGCCGAUGUCAGAUUAGCUAGUUGGUGAGGUAACGGCUUACCAAGGCGACGAUCUGUAGCGGGUCUGAGAGGAUGAUCCGCCACACUGGAACUGAGACACGGUCCAGACUCCUACGGGAGGCAGCAGUGGGGAAUUUUGGACAAUGGCGCAAGCCCGAUCCAGCCAUGCCGCGUGAGUGAAGAAGGCCUUCGGGUUGUAAAGCUCUUUCGGCCGGGAAGAAAUCGCAUGGGUUAAUACCCUGUGUGGAUGACGGUACCGGAAUAAGAAGCACCGGCUAACUACGUG
Molecule: ribosomal RNA, 494 nt
Filed under: uncultured bacterium
Lineage: Bacteria
Description: bacterial SSU rRNA
Rfam family: Bacterial small subunit ribosomal RNA
Source: RNAcentral